UUUUUUUUACCUUCCAGAUCUUCUAUAGAAUACUUUGAUUUACCAAUUUUGUUUUAAAAUAAUUUUGAUCUUUUUCAAUUGAUAGAAACUUGUAUUCUGACCUAGAACAGGUUCUAUCUUAGGAUCCAUUUUCCCUUGAAUGUGUAUGCUGUUGUUUUGGGGUGGAGGUCAAUUUAUUUAGUAGGUGGUUCAGGUCAUCUGUAUUAGGGUUCUUCAGAGAAACAAAAUCAGUAGUGUAUAUGUGUGUGUACACAGAGAGACAAAGGCAUACAAAGAGAUUUGUUAUAAUUAUGGAAGCAAGAAGUCCCAGGACCUGCAGGGUGAGUUGGUGUGCUGGAGACCUAAAAGAACAGAUGGUAUGGUUCUAUUCCAAAGACUUGUAAACUUGGGAAGAACCAACAUUUCAGUUAAAGUCUGAAGGCAGAAAAAGACUAGUGUAUCAACUCAGGGCAGACAGGAGAACUUCCCCUUCCUUCUGGAGGGGUCAACUUUUUGGUUCUAUUCAGGCCUUCAACUGAUUAGACGAGGUCCACCUAUAUUGAGGAAGGCAGUCUGCCUCAGUCUAUAGUUCAAAUAUUAACUUCAUCCACAAAUAUGGACACCCUGUGGCCCAGUCAAGUUGACACAUAAAAUUAACCAUCAACUCUCCUGACUUCCUGUCUACUUGGUAUACCCAUUUUUUGAGAAUGGGGUUUUGAAACCUCCUCCCUAAAAGUGGAUUAAUCUAGUUGCCUUGCAGUUCUUGGGUUUGCAUUAUGUAUUUGGAACUCUAGUUUUAGGUGCCUGCACAUUGGGAAUUGUUAUAUUCUCCUGUUUUGUCCUUUAUCCUUAGGAAAUGGCCCUCUUUGUGGUGAUAUUCCUUGUUCUGAGGUUUUGUCUGAUUUUAAAAUAGUCAUUCCAUUUUGGCGAUCAUUUUUAAAAAUUUUUUUUGUCAAUGGAACUUUUAUUUAUUUAUAUGCGGUACUGAGAAUCGAACCCAGUGUCUCACACAUGCUAAGCAAGCGCUCUACCUCUGAACUACAACCCCAACUCUUG
This 1035-nucleotide long non-coding RNA is filed under the name Marmota monax (woodchuck). The record is from RNAcentral. Lineage: Eukaryota; Metazoa; Chordata; Mammalia; Rodentia; Sciuridae.